GGGUAGGUACUCAAGUGGUCAACGAGGACUCUCUGUAAAAGAGUUGGCGUUCGCCUUCGGGGGUUCGAAUCCCUCCCUACCCA
RNAcentral lists this transfer RNA (83 nucleotides) under Patescibacteria group bacterium. RNAcentral's name for it is "tRNA-Tyr". It matches the Rfam family "tRNA". Rfam says of the family: Transfer RNA (tRNA) molecules are approximately 80 nucleotides in length. The record is from RNAcentral.